This 16-nucleotide ribosomal RNA is filed under the name Arbusculohypopterygium arbuscula. RNAcentral describes it as "Arbusculohypopterygium arbusculum partial 18S ribosomal RNA". Lineage: Eukaryota; Viridiplantae; Streptophyta; Bryopsida; Hookeriales; Hypopterygiaceae. The record is from RNAcentral. RNAcentral also lists the same sequence under 1 other name.
GGAUAUUGCACACACA